Molecule: long non-coding RNA, 4218 nt
Organism: Columba livia (rock pigeon)
Lineage: Eukaryota; Metazoa; Chordata; Aves; Columbiformes; Columbidae
Exons: 2
Source: RefSeq, a predicted model, not a curated record
UUUCUGAGACAGUUGUCUCGAUGAUGAGCUUUGCAUCUGCUUUUAAGGAAAUCCAGUGGCAAAAAAAAAAAAUAUACCCAUCCAGGAGAUCAAUGCAUAUAAAUAACCAUGCAACAAGGGUUUGCAAUGAUGCUGAAGUGCCUGAGCCCCUGCCUGUCCAAGAGCUGGGGGGGAUAGGAAAGAGAACAUCUGCCACACGGGCUGAAUAAAAGGUGAAGAUGCCAGCAGAGCUUUCGAACACUCCUGUCCCCCUCCUGAACAGCCCUCUCGGUGGCACUGGCAGCAAAACAAGGGCUCAGGGCGACAUUUCCAGCAGGUGAGAUGUGACUUCGCUUGGCUCUGCCUGCGCUUGUCACCCCACCCCCCGUACACUGCAGCUUUCUUGGUGCUAUCUGCUUAAAUGACUAAUGCGAAUGAACUAAUGAAGAUAAGGAAAUCAGAUUUUACGUAACGAUGUGCACUGAUGUGCACACGCAAAGCACAUGUGUGCGCACGUGUGGGUGCAAAACAGCUCCAGCGCAACCAUUUCAGUACAAGUAUCUGUCACCUUUUCACACAUUUUUACAGUCCGGUAAAAUCAUGUGGCAGCUGCACACACCGCCAUGAGGCCUGGAGUUUUCAAUAGGGCAGCUGAUGGCUCAUUAGCACCUUUUAUGCCCCAUUGUCUCUGUCCUCACUGUGCACCCCCCACACUGGCACGCAUUGACCCCCCAGCUAGAGGAGGGGAGGAGAGGGGCGGAACCCUCUGCCAACAGACAGGGUCCUCAGCCAAUGAGGUGCCAAGACCCGGAGAAGCUUCCGGUCCAUGUUGAUAACACCCACAGCCAGAUCCGACUAGGCUGUAAAAUGAGGUUCCUACGGAGCCCCCCUUGGCGUGGGCUGUGGGCCUGUGAACAGAGCCUUCCCCUUAGAGAGGCACACCAUCUAAAGAGACUUCCCUGAACUGAGAGCCUUCACCUCCUCCUCGCCCUGGAAACCCCAUUUGAUUCCAUGAUACAGACAAGACCAUCAGCAGACCAAAGGACAGUUGCAAAAGCCAUCUCUGUAUGGAGGACUGCAUGGAUUUAUUUUAAGGGUGGAUGCCACCAGGAAUCAGAUAAGAGAGGGGUCAUGACAGCCAUUAGGAAUGGAAGGGACACAGAAAAUUUGAAAUUUGGAUAAGCUGUCCAGAAGGAAGACAGAAACUGCAGAAAUAAUGAGAAGAUAACUGUUCUCUUCCUGAAUGGUAAAGAGCCUCAGAGAAUUCAAAGAUGGAAGCAGAGAAGCUCUGAUACUUGCAGUGAAACUGAUGACAAAGUAAGCUGCUGUGUAGCUAUAGAGGAAGGAGCAUGAACUAGGACCUGCCAUAGGAGGAAAACUUGAGACAGUUUUGGUGUGAAUAAAUUAUUAUUUUGUUACUUAGGCACUCUGGACACUUUACUGUCUGUAUCAGCUUCUUGAAAUCCUGUCUAGAUCUUUAAUUUAGAAAGUGAGUGUUCUUUCUUAAUAUAUUAAUAUCAGCAAUGUUUAAAUUUCAACAAUAGUUUAAUGAGAUGGUUCUCAUGCAUCCUUAUAACAAAUACAGAGAAUUUAAAGUAACAGUCUCUGAGUUUAUCUUCAGCACCCUCCUUGCCUCCAGUGCUCUGCUUAGAUUCUCAUUUAAAUAGCAAUGGGUUAUGAAAAAAAAAGUCUAAUCUGUUCCCUCACUGUGUCACUGUGCAUGCAUACAUUAUUUUAUCCCCUAAGGCACUUGCAAGAAACCCCCAAAGACCCUUGUUGAGUCACAUAAAAAAAGCUCUUGUGGAAAAUAAGAGUUGAAAGGAAUAUUACUUUCUGCAAUCUUUCCAUACAGAGGGAAUAUAGAAAAUAGUCUGGGUUUUGACUAAUUGAAUUACCAUUUUGGGGAGGUAAUAAUAUCUAGCUCUGCUGUACAGGACAUUUAAUCCUUAAAUUUAAAAUUCAUUCAUAGGUCAAUCUUUUCAUUUUACGUGUCUGGUACAACUGAGGUAGAAACAAGGAAGAAAGGUCUAACCAAUAUCAUUUAACAACCUGAAUUGCCUUUCAAGCCCCAGCCCACAAGACUGCUCUUCACAGCAUCGUGACUAGCUCCUAAUUUUCCCACUCAGUUUUAUAACUUAAAUUGAUGCAAACCAUCCGUAUCAUAAAUCAAAGAAGUUUUGCACAUAACUGCAGGUUUGACUGUUACAGUCACGCAUAUUUCAGGAUGCCAUGUAGUGAAAAUCAGUGUAGCUCCACUGGAAUCAAUGGAGUUAAUUUAUACCUAGGUAUAAAUUAACUUAUCUCCGUGAAGUCAGUGAGAGCUUUUGCUGUUCCUUUAAUUGAUGACAGAAUCAGGACAAAGGUGCUGUUGUGAUCUACUCUUGGUGCCUAGGAAUAUGGAAUAUUUAAGUUUUUAUCUAUUGUUAAGUAUUACAUUAACAUGUUCAGUUUUUUGAAAAGUGAGCUCCUAGUAUCUUUUAAUUCAAUUGGCCCAGGAUACUGGUCUCAUUAAAAGAUGAUUGUAUAGCAAGAAAGAUGAAAGUGACCGAAGUUGGAAAAAUGAAAGCUUUAUAUAAAGAAGUGAAGGAAAAGGUUAUAUUUGGAAUGGAAAACAUGGGUUCAAAAAUAUCUUGUCCAUCACCAAGCUGUAUUGCUCCUUCAGUGAUUCAUAUUUGUAUUCCAUUCACAACUGUUAAAAGCAAUCAAGAAAUAAUAGGAGAAUCCUGAACCCCAAAAGAUGGGUACGGGUCCUUUACUUGGUCUAGUAAAGAAGGUAAUGAUCUGUGAGAAGUACACAAGCGGACUGAUAGAUGCUGCAGCAGUGCAGUAGGUGCCCACACUGGUGGUAAUUAAAGGGAAGAUAGGGUUUCUAAACAGGUGGUGUUUGUCAUUGUGUGUUGUUCAGGGUACCUGGGCUUAAACAAGUGACUGCUUGCUUGAAAUACCUACAAAUAUUUUAACAUUAAGUCCUUAACAUGUUUGCUUUUUCUUACUGAAACAUGCAUUUAGUAUUGAUUUAAUAGAAAAUCUGAUCCUAAAAUUCACAUUUUACCUCAAAUCUGUUAGAUAAAAUAUUAUCUUGUUUAAUUUCAAUUGUAUUUUAAAAUACUACUGAAGUCUGCACUCUGCUUUUGUUUCUUCAUUUCAAACAGCUGCUGACUCCUGCACUACAUAAUUAAUUUAAGUAUCAUUUGAGGUUACUUUAAUACAAUUUCCUCAUAAGUACAUGAGAAACAUACUGGCUAUUUAGAGUUCAAUACAUUAAUCGUAGACAAGAGUCAGUUGUCAUGGUUUCUAUCACAGACAAGCGUGAAGGGGUCAGUUCAUUCCCAAAUUCAUUAUAACCUCAAAGAGUUCAGUUACCAUUUUGUCUCAUUUUAAAUGAGUAUGUAAUGAGUCACAUGAGUUAAUCCCAUUUAUAUGGUUUUAUGAAGCAGGAUUGCCAAGUUAUAUGCUUUUGAGUUAGAAGAAAGGUUCAAAAAAAAGGAAUGAACUCAGAAUACCAAACCCUCACUGUGAACAAUGCCUGGCCAUGCAGAAAGGAACAUUUUACCUUGCAAUAUGUUAGCAACCUGUUGAUAUUUUAAUUAAGCACAAGAGAUCUUCAAGAAGAAGAAUAGAAGAAAGCAGUCCUACUUCCUCCAACUACACUUUCUCCUCUGAAUACAACCUGAGGACUGACAUGAUGCCCAGCAGUUGAUUCAGUGACAGGCUGGGUUGCAUGAGGGUCUAAUCACCAUAUCAGCUGGAGGUAAAGGAAGAAUAUCUGCAUUUGCUUUGUGCAUUAGGCAAGAUUUUCUUUCAUUUUUUUAUAUUUGUUUGAUAGUCCUUAUGAUUCUUCACAAUUUGGUACUUCCUAACUGAAUGCUUUUAUUUGUCUUCAAAUUAAAUAUGAUUUAAAGGCACUUUGAUACUGUAGAGGCAUUUGUAGAGUAUGAUAUUAAAGUGUGGAAACUAAACUGUCCAUACCACACUCACAUACACCUCACUAAACUGUUCUGGUCUUUAAUCGAGCUCCAUUUGCUGGCUUGGGAGUUAGUUAUGCCGUGGCUAAGAAAUGUCUUUUGUGUGUACGUUGUUAGCCAAGUAACAAUUGUACUUUUUUCUUAAUGUUAGAGUUCAGAAUAUUUUUAAAAGCUAUUGCCUGGCAUACAGCUUUCUUAUGAUCUUGAAACGUCUUUUCCUGGUUCAAAGGCAGCACCUUGUGUUGCUUAAAAUUAAAGCAUGUCCUAAUGAAAA